CACGGGGGGAGCAAGCGUUGUUCGGAAUCACUGGGCGUAAAGGGUGUCUAGGCGGUCAGGUAAGUGAGAUGUGAAAUGCCCCGGCUUACCCGGGGACCUGCAUCUCAUACUGCCUGGCUUGAGUAUGGGAGAGGAUGAGGGAAUUCCUGGUGUAGCGGUGAAAUGCGUAGAUAUCAGGAGGAACACCGGUGGCGAAAGCGCUCAUCUGGCCCAAUACUGACGCUGAAGCACGAAAGCUAGGGGAGCAAACAGG
Molecule: ribosomal RNA, 253 nt
Filed under: uncultured bacterium
Lineage: Bacteria
Description: partial 16S ribosomal RNA
Rfam family: Bacterial small subunit ribosomal RNA
Source: RNAcentral